UCCCUGGUAGCUUAGAUGGUAAAGAACCUGCCUGCAAUGCAGGAGAGCCCGGUUCCAUUCCUGGGUUGGGAA
Molecule: transfer RNA, 72 nt
Filed under: Ovis aries (sheep)
Lineage: Eukaryota; Metazoa; Chordata; Mammalia; Artiodactyla; Bovidae
Rfam family: tRNA
About the family: Transfer RNA (tRNA) molecules are approximately 80 nucleotides in length. Their secondary structure includes four short double-helical elements and three loops (D, anti-codon, and T loops).
Source: Rfam by way of RNAcentral